CCUACGGGUGGCUGCAGUGAGGAAUAUUGGUCAAUGGACGAGAGUCUGAACCAGCCAAGUAGCGUGAAGGAUGACUGCCCUAUGGGUUGUAAACUUCUUUUAUAUGGGAAUAAAACAGGGUAUGCAUACCCUCUUGUAUGUACCAUAUGAAUAAGGAUCGGCUAACUCCGUGCCAGCAGCCGCGGUAAUACGGAGGAUGCGAGCGUUAUCCGGAUUUAUUGGGUUUAAAGGGUGCGUAGGCGGGCUGUUAAGUCAGCGGUAAAAGCCCGGGGCUCAACCCCGGCGAGCCGUUGAAACUGGCUGUCUUGAGAUGUCGAGAGGUAUGCGGAAUGCGCAGUGUAGCGGUGAAAUGCUUAGAUAUUGCGCAGAACUCCGAUUGCGAAGGCAGCAUACCGGCGGCGAUCUGACGCUGAGGCACGAAAGCGUGGGUAUCGAACAGGAUUAGAUACCCGAGUAGUC
Molecule: ribosomal RNA, 459 nt
Filed under: uncultured bacterium
Lineage: Bacteria
Description: partial 16S ribosomal RNA
Rfam family: Bacterial small subunit ribosomal RNA
Source: RNAcentral